GGCGGCGUGCCUAAUACAUGCAAGUCGAACGGUCUUUCUAUGGAAGCUUGCUUCCACUGAGAAGAUAGUGGCGAACGGGUGAGUAACACGUGGGUAACCUGCCCAUAAGAGGGGGAUAACAUCCGGAAACGGGUGCUAAUACCGCAUAGUUUUCUUGAUCGCAUGAUCGGGAAAGGAAAGACGGCCUUUGUGCUGUCGCUUAUGGAUGGACCCGCGGCGUAUUAGUUAGUUGGUGAGGUAACGGCUCACCAAGACGAUGAUACGUAGCCGACCUGAGAGGGUGAUCGGCCACAUUGGGACUGAGACACGGCCCAAACUCCUACGGGAGGCAGCAGUAGGGAAUCUUCCGCAAUGGACGAAAGUCUGACGGAGCAACGCCGCGUGAGUGAAGAAAGGUUUUCGGAUCGUAAAACUCUGUUGUCAGAGAAGAACAAGUUGGAGAGUAACUGCUCCAGCCUUGACGGUAUCUGACCAGAAAGCCACGGCUAACUACGUGCCAGCAGCGGC
RNAcentral lists this ribosomal RNA (507 nucleotides) under uncultured bacterium. RNAcentral describes it as "bacterial SSU rRNA". It matches the Rfam family "Bacterial small subunit ribosomal RNA", at positions 38 to 518 of the family's 1533-position model. The record is from RNAcentral.